UAAAUCAUUUAUCGAGGAUCUAUUGGAGGGCAAGUCUGGUGCCAGCAGCCGCGGUAAUUCCAGCUCCAAUAGCGUAUAUUAAAGUUGUUGCGGUUAAAAAGCUCGUAGUUGGAUCUACGAUCAAGUCUUGUGGUCGCUCUGCCUGAGUGUACUGCAUUGACUGAUCCAUAUAUCCAGUAUUCGAUUGAUGCUCUUCAUUGAGUGUCUCUAGUUGCUGGAACUUUUACCUUGAAAAAAUUGGAGUGCUCAAGGCAGGCUAAAGCCUGAACAUUGCUGCAUGGGAUAAUAGAAUAGGACUUCGGUUCUAUUUUGUUGGUUUCGGAACACGAAGUAAUGAUUAAUAGGGACAGACGGGGGCAUUCGUAUUGCUGCGUUAGAGGUGAAAUUCUUGGAUCGUAGCAAGACGAACUACUGCGAAAGCAUUUGCCAAGAAUGUUUUCAUUAAUCAAGAACGAAAGUUAGAGGUUCGAAGGCGAUCAGAUACCGCCCUAGUUCUAACCGUAAACGAUGUUAACUAGCGAUCCGCAGGAGUUACUUUAACGGCUCUGCGGGGAGCUCCCGGGAAACCUAAGUGUUCGAAUUCCGGGGGAAGUAUGGUUGCAAAGCUGAAACUUAAAGGAAUUGACGGAAGGGCACCACCAGGAGUGGAGCUUGCGGCUUAAUUUGACCCAACGCGGGGAAACUCACUUGGUCAGGACACUGUAAGGAUUGACAGAUUGAAAGCUCUUUCUUGAUUCGGUGGAUGGUGGUGCAUGGCCGUUCUUAGUUGGUGGAGUGAUUUGUCUGGUUAAUUCCGAUAGCGAACGAGACUCUAACUUGCUAACUAGUCGCAGUUUUAUUCUGACUGUCGAGCUUCUUAGAAGGACAGGGGACGCCAGUCCCACGAGAUUGAGCAAUAACAGGUCUGAUAUGCCCUUAGAUGUCCAAGGCCGCACGCGUGCUACACUGAAGACGUCAACAUGUUAACCUAACUCGAAAGGGUUUGGGGAACCCUAUGAAACGUCUUCGUGCUAGGGAUUGGGACUUGUAAUUAUUUCCCAUGAACGAGGAAUUCCUAGUAAGUGCGAGUCAUCAUCUCGCGCUGAUUACGUCCCUGCCCUUUGUACACACCGCCCGUCGCUACUACCGAUUGGAUGUGUUAGUGAGAUUUUCCGACUGGGACAAUGGCAGCUUCG
RNAcentral lists this ribosomal RNA (1175 nucleotides) under metagenome. RNAcentral's name for it is "SSU rRNA". It matches the Rfam family "Eukaryotic small subunit ribosomal RNA", at positions 526 to 1733 of the family's 1831-position model. The record is from RNAcentral.